CCUGCAGAAGGUCAUUGUCGAGAGUCCCGGAACAAGGAGAGAUCCGUGCAAUUCGUGUGGAUGGGGACGGCCGUCGUCGCCGAGAUCUGCUUGCAUCGCGCGGCCCCUUCCUCGGGAAAGGCCCUGCGGUGGAGCAACUGUCUUUGGGCGCAGCGCUGCGCCAAGGGAGAUGGAAGCGCGCAUGGUGUUCAUCGCCAUGGGCUUGCGAGGCUCGAAUGGUGGAGCCGAACCUAAGACUCUUGGCAACGGAUAUCUUGGCUCUCGCAUCGAUGAAGAACGCAGCGAAAUGCGAUACGUGUUGUGAAUUGCAGAAUCCCGUGAACCAUCUAAUCUUUGAACGCAAGUGGCGCCCGAGGAUGCAAGCCGAGGGCACGCCUGCAUGGGGGUAUUCCGAUGCAUCGCUCCUGGCAAACGGCCCCGGUCGGACGUUUUGUGCGACCAGGCGCCUUGUUGGAGGCGAGGUGUGGCUCCUCAUGCCCCCCGGCAUGGAGGGCUCAAGUUCGGGCACAUGGCUGGUCGUUGAUGCGGCAAGAGGUGGAAUGUGCACGUGUUUUGCCGUGUGGGUGCCAUGUUGCUCCGCGCAAAUCCAAGUCCAUGCUACGUCGUCGUGUGGAUCCGUGACCCCAUGUCAGUGAG
Molecule: ribosomal RNA, 636 nt
Filed under: Erythrorchis cassythoides
Lineage: Eukaryota; Viridiplantae; Streptophyta; Magnoliopsida; Asparagales; Orchidaceae
Description: eukaryotic LSU rRNA
Rfam family: 5.8S ribosomal RNA (bases 235-389)
Source: RNAcentral